Molecule: ribosomal RNA, 465 nt
Filed under: uncultured bacterium
Lineage: Bacteria
Description: bacterial SSU rRNA
Rfam family: Bacterial small subunit ribosomal RNA
Source: RNAcentral
ACGAACGCUGGCGGCGUGCUUAACACAUGCAAGUCAAGGGGGCCCGCAAGGGUAACCGGCGAACGGGUGCGUAACACGUGAGCAAUCUGCCUAGAUGUGGGGGAUAGCCGGCCCAACGGCCGGGUAAUACCGCAUACGCUCACCGGGUGGCAUCACUUGGUGAGGAAACAUUCGUGGCAUCUAGAGGAGCUCGCGGCCUAUCAGCUAGUUGGUGGGGUAACGGCCUACCAAGGCAUUGACGGGUAGCUGGUCUGAGAGGAUGGCCAGCCACAUUGGGACUGAGAUACGGCCCAGACUCCUACGGGAGGCAGCAGUGGGGAAUAUUGCGCAAUGGCCGAAAGGCUGACGCAGCGACGCCGCGUGGGGGAUGAAGCAUUUCGGUGUGUAAACCCCUGUGGCCCGGGACGAACAACUGGUUUCGACCAGUCUGACGGUACCGGGUGAGGAAGCACCGGCUAACUCCGU